AAAGUUAUAAGAAAUUAAUGUGAAUUUAAUUAAAUUGUCUAUGUAAAGGCUCCAUAAACAUGACUGGACAUCAAACUUUCUGCUUUUUU
This is a long non-coding RNA of Sinocyclocheilus anshuiensis, 89 nucleotides long. RefSeq lists it as uncharacterized. Lineage: Eukaryota; Metazoa; Chordata; Actinopteri; Cypriniformes; Cyprinidae. The record is from RefSeq and is a predicted model, not a curated record. The transcript has 3 exons.